UAGGGAAUCUUCCGCAAUGGACGCAAGUCUGACGGAGCAACGCCGCGUGAGUGAAGAAGGAUUUCGGUUCGUAAAACUCUGUUGUUAGAGAAGAACAGCGCAUAGAGUAACUGUUAUGCGUGUGACGGUAUCUAACCAGAAAGCCACGGCUAACUACGUGCCAGCAGCCGCGGUAAUACGUAGGUGGCAAGCGUUGUCCGGAUUUAUUGGGCGUAAAGCGAGCGCAGGCGGUCAAUUAAGUCUGAUGUGAAAGCCCCGGCUCAACCGGGGAGGGUCAUUGGAAACUGGUUGACUUGAGUGCAGAAGAGGAGAGUGGAAUUCCAUGUGUAGCGGUGAAAUGCGUAGAUAUAUGGAGGAACACCAGUGGCGAAGGCGACUCUCUGGUCUGUAACUGACGCUGAGGUUCGAAAGCGUGGGUAGCAAACAGG
Molecule: ribosomal RNA, 428 nt
Filed under: Bacteroidota bacterium
Lineage: Bacteria; Pseudomonadati; Bacteroidota
Description: Bacteroidetes bacterium partial 16S ribosomal RNA
Rfam family: Bacterial small subunit ribosomal RNA
Source: RNAcentral